GAUGAACGCUGGCGGCGUGCCUAAUACAUGCAAGUCGAGCGAACAGACGAGGAGCUUGCUCCUCUGACGUUAGCGGCGGACGGGUGAGUAACACGUGGAUAACCUACCUAUAAGACUGGGAUAACUUCGGGAAACCGGAGCUAAUACCGGAUAAUAUAUUGAACCGCAUGGUUCAAUAGUGAAAGACGGUUUUGCUGUCACUUAUAGAUGGAUCCGCGCCGCAUUAGCUAGUUGGUAAGGUAACGGCUUACCAAGGCGACGAUGCUUAGCCGACCUGAGAGGGUGAUCGGCCACACUGGAACUGAGACACGGUCCAGACUCCUACGGGAGGCAGCAGUAGGGAAUCUUCCGCAAAGGGCGAAAGCCUGACGGAGCAACGCCGCGUGAGUGAUGAAGGUCUUCGGAUCGUAAAACUCUGUUAUUAGGGAAGAACAAAUGUGUAAGUAACUAUGCACGUCUUGACGGUACCUAAUCAGAAAGCCACGGCUAACUACGUG
RNAcentral lists this ribosomal RNA (497 nucleotides) under uncultured bacterium. RNAcentral describes it as "partial 16S ribosomal RNA". It matches the Rfam family "Bacterial small subunit ribosomal RNA", at positions 28 to 507 of the family's 1533-position model. The record is from RNAcentral.